Molecule: non-coding RNA, 2016 nt
Organism: Castor canadensis (American beaver)
Lineage: Eukaryota; Metazoa; Chordata; Mammalia; Rodentia; Castoridae
Source: RefSeq, a predicted model, not a curated record
CACAGCCUCAGCCAGGAGGGAGCAGGCCACAGAAAGGGGUCCCCAACUAUGACCCUACAGUCCUGGAUAGAAGGGAGCAGAACAGCAGCAGCUGGGAUGUUGUGGGUCAGCUCAUGAGACAUUUGCAUGGAUCUGGUCUCUGACAUGGCGGCUGGCGACCUGGGCAAGCUGCUUUCCCUCUCUGAGCCUUCCCAUCAAGCUCUCCGAGCCCUGACCACCUACCUGAUGCCAGCCUGGGGACUCCUGUUCCUGCUCUGGGCCGUGGCACAAGCCACCCAGUCCUGUCCUGCACCGUGCACCUGCCAGGCCUUGGAAACCAUGGGGCUGAGAGUGGACUGCGAGGGGCGGGGGCUCACAGCCCUGCCUGCCCUGCCAGUCCACACUCGCCAACUCCUGCUGGCCAACAACAGCCUGCACUCCGUGCCCCCAGGCGCCUUUGACCACCUGCCCCAGCUGUGGAGCCUGGACAUGACACAGAACCCCUGGCAUUGCGAUUGCAGCCUCACCUAUCUGCGCCUUUGGCUGGAGGACCACAUGCCAGAGACCCUCCAGCACAUCCACUGUGCUAGCCCCAACCUCGCCACCCUCCGCCCUCUGGGCCAGCUGACAGGCUACGAGCUGGGCAACUGUGGCUGGCAGCUGCCAGCAUCCUGGGCCUACCCGGGGAUGUGGUGGGAUGUGGCACUGCUGGCUGUGGCUCUGCUGGGCCUGGCUCUGCUGGCUGGCCUUCUGUGUGCCUUCUUAGAGUCCAUGGACUGAACCCCACACCCCAGAGUGACCACAGGCCAGGAGGCCAGGCCUAAGGCAGCACCGCAGACCCACCAGCCCUGCUCAGGGAAAACAACUUUCCUCCAAACGCUGACUCCAGCCGUCCCCAAACUCUGAGUCUCCUCCUGCCCAAACAAAUCAUCAAAUCAUCAACGGUCAUCAAAUUCUUCACAUGAGACAACUCUCUCCCUCUGAGGAACUCUAGUACCAGCUGUUAAAAUACUUCCACGUGGCUGAGCAGAGCCCCAUGUGCUCCAGUGACAGCAAGGGAGGGCCUGCGGGUAGGAGGGCACCACCAUUUCCUACUGUUAUAAUAAAAUACCCUAGCCUUGGCAACCGAUAAAGAACAGAGGUUUACUCAACUCGCAGUUGGGAAUAUGGGAAGUCCAAGAGCACGGCGCCAGCGUCGGUUUGUUAUCUGGCAAGGGCUUCUUGCCGCAUCAUAGAGAGGGCUCAAUUUUACAGCAAAGCCACUCCAUCUAGGACCCAUUCGUCCACCCUCACCAGGGCGGACCCCGCCAAACCCAACCACCUUCCACAGGUGGUUCCCACCUCUCCACACUGAGACACCGGGGUCCAAGUUUCCAACACAUGAAAUUUGACGAGCCAUGUGCAGGCCAUCAUCUGGAAUGUCACCUAGUAAACUGGGCCCCUGGCAGCCUGUUCUUCCUCCCCUCCCAAGGCACACAGGCUGGGGCACAGACAGGGAGCCUGUCUGACACCACACCCACAUGACUUGGGCACUCCAGAUACACUUCCAGGUGAGAGAAGCCUCCAAACAUACUUUCACUGUACCUGCAUGAUGCAUAAGCCUCAGGUUCAACAGACAGCACCGGGGGGAAAAAGGCCAUUGCACAACCAAUACUUGAAUAAAUUCUUUUGGGAAAAAAUUUAAAUAGCUCACCCACUCCCUGUUCUGGUAGAGGUCACCUCUGCAAUAUGUACAUGUACCCAGCAAAAUACUGUCUGUGUCAGGUGAAUUUGUAAGUGGUUUCAUGCUUCUUGUUUCUUCUGAAACUGGUUUUUUUCCCAGCGUGCCAUUUAUAGAUCACCUGUGUUGGCUUCAGAGAGCUCCCGCCGUCAGCAUUUCCUUUUUUUUUUUUUUCUAGCAUUUCCUUAUUGGACGUAUUUGUCCUCUGUUGGGCCAACGUGUUUCACAAACAGGCUUCAUUGUACACCUGUGUACACAAUGUCCCUAGACUACCAGUCACAUUUCUCACUAUUGUGUUUUGUUUUAGACCAUAACUA